UGUUAGCAUCCAUUGUACUUCAUGAGAUUUUUUUUCAGAAAAAGUCCUCUAUGUGUGAUGUAAGGAGCUGCUGGGCGAGGGUUGGAGGGGUAGAAUCAUUGCCUGGAGGAGAACUGGCCUGCCAAAGGACUUCAUGGUUGCUUUGGCUUGCCCUAGAUGGAUCAGGAGGAUACUUCAGCCCAAUGCUGGCACUUCCAAGGGCUGGAAGACAAAAGCCAUAACUCUGGUGCUGAGUUUUAGACUUAGUUUAGCUAGUGUCCCUGGCUUCAGAAAACCUAGGUCUGAUCCAUCUGUUUGGGCUCUAAAUCCACAUGGCAAAGACAUCAUUCCUUAAUCACCAGCCUUUGAUUUCAACUUGCUCAGGCACUCUUGAAGAAUGUUGGAUAGCCGCAGUAGCUAUUGUUAUACUGAGCACUGUGUCAGGCUUCUUACCACCAAAGAGCCCCGUCGCACAGGCCACAGAGACCAAAUACAUUGCUUUGUAGAGCCAGGGGCAAGUAUGAGCUUAGUGAAAGCUGAGGGGAGCAAUAAAUUUAAAAAAAAAGUUAAAA
This 551-nucleotide long non-coding RNA is filed under the name Rattus norvegicus (Norway rat). RNAcentral's name for it is "long non-coding RNA NONRATT008425". The record is from RNAcentral. Lineage: Eukaryota; Metazoa; Chordata; Mammalia; Rodentia; Muridae.